GGAGCUAUAGUUUAAUGGUUAAAAUAAGUGCCUGUCACGUGCUAGAUACGAGUUCAAUUCUCGUUAGUUCCG
RNAcentral lists this transfer RNA (72 nucleotides) under Ulva sp. UNA00071828. RNAcentral's name for it is "tRNA-Asp". It matches the Rfam family "tRNA". Rfam says of the family: Transfer RNA (tRNA) molecules are approximately 80 nucleotides in length. Their secondary structure includes four short double-helical elements and three loops (D, anti-codon, and T loops). Further hydrogen bonds mediate the characteristic L-shaped molecular structure. tRNAs have two regions of fundamental functional importance: the anti-codon, which is responsible for specific mRNA codon recognition, and the 3' end, to which the tRNAs corresponding amino acid is attached (by aminoacyl-tRNA synthetases). tRNAs cope with the degeneracy of the genetic code in two manners: having more than one tRNA (with a specific anti-codon) for a particular amino acid; and 'wobble' base-pairing, i.e. permitting non-standard base-pairing at the 3rd anti-codon position. Lineage: Eukaryota; Viridiplantae; Chlorophyta; Ulvophyceae; Ulvales; Ulvaceae. The record is from RNAcentral.